GUUGUACUCCCUCCGUCCUAAAAUNNNNNUCUUAGAUUUGUCUAGAUAUAAAUGUAUCUAGUCACAUUUUAAUAUUUAGAUACUUUUAUUUCUAGACAAACCUAAGACAAGCAUUUUGGGACGGAGGGAGUAUGAU
This is a non-coding RNA of Hordeum vulgare subsp. vulgare (domesticated barley), 136 nucleotides long. The record is from Rfam. Lineage: Eukaryota; Viridiplantae; Streptophyta; Magnoliopsida; Poales; Poaceae.